RNAcentral lists this ribosomal RNA (253 nucleotides) under uncultured bacterium. RNAcentral describes it as "partial 16S ribosomal RNA". It matches the Rfam family "Bacterial small subunit ribosomal RNA", at positions 524 to 776 of the family's 1533-position model. The record is from RNAcentral.
UACGUAGGGAGCGAGCGUUGUCCGGAAUCAUUGGGCGUAAAGCGCGCGUAGGUGGUCUUGUAAGUCCGCUGUGAAAGUCAAAGGCUCAACCUUUGAAAGCCGGUGGAUACUGCGAGACUAGAGUGCGGAAGAGGCGAGUGGAAUUCCUGGUGUAGCGGUGGAAUGCGCAGAUAUCAGGAGGAACACCAAUAGCGAAGGCAGCUCGCUGGGACGUUACUGACACUGAGGCGCGAAAGCGUGGGGAGCGAACAGG